CCCAGAACCCGAUCCCAUCUCGAACUCGGCCGUUAAACACGCCAGCGCCCAUGGUACUGUGUCUCAAGGCACGGGAGAGUCGGUCGCCGCCAGAC
RNAcentral lists this ribosomal RNA (95 nucleotides) under Methylobacterium sp. GXS13. Lineage: Bacteria; Pseudomonadati; Pseudomonadota; Alphaproteobacteria; Hyphomicrobiales; Methylobacteriaceae. The record is from RNAcentral.